UUCCGUAGGUGAACCUGCGGAAGGAUCAUUAGUGAAUCUUUCAAAGUCGGCUCCGUCCGUUCUGUGCUGGUGGAGACACAUGUGCACGUUCGGCGAGUCGCAAACCCACACACCUGUGCAUCUAUGACUCUGAGUGCCGCUUUGCAUGGCCUUGACGGGCCUGGCGCUCGAGUAUUUUCACACACUCUUGAAUGUAAUGGAAUGUCAUGUUGUGCGUAAUGUACAAAAGAAACAACUUUCAACAACGGAUCUCUUGGCUCUCGCAUCGAUGAAGAACGCAGCGAAAUGCGAUAAGUAAUGUGAAUUGCAGAAUUCAGUGAAUCAUCGAAUCUUUGAACGCACCUUGCACCCUUUGGUAUGCCAAAGGGUACACCCGUUUGAGUGUCAUUGUAAUCUCACUACGAUUGACUUUGUCGUCUUUCUGUAUGUGGACUUGGAUGUUGUCGUGGAUAUCCACGACUCGUCUGAAAUGCUUGAGUGUACCCUGCUUUGCGGCGUAUUCGGUGUGAUACAUCUUCACCGGAGUUGAUCCUUUUGGGUCGCGUCUAUACAAGUGUGGCUCUAUGCUUCCAACCGUCUUCCAGGAGACAAUGUUUGACAAUUUGACCUCAAAUCGGGUGGGACUACCCGCUGAACUUAAGCAUAUCAAUAAGCGGAGGAAAAGAAACUAACAAGGAUUCCCCUAGUAACGGCGAGUGAAGAGGGAAAAGCUCAAAUUUUGAAUCUGGUGUCUUUGACGCCCGAGUUGUAAUCUAGAGAAGUGUUUUCCGUGUCGGACCGUGCACAAGUUCCCUGGAACGGGGCGUCAUAGAGGGUGAGAAUCCCGUAUAUGGCACGGACUGCCGAUGCUUUGUGAUACACUCUCAACGAGUCGAGUUGUUUGGGAAUGCAGCUCAAAAUGGGUGGUAAAUUCCAUCUAAAGCUAAAUAUUGGCGAGAGACCGAUAGCGAACAAGUACCGUGAGGGAAAGAUGAAAAGCACUUUGGAAAGAGAGUGAAACAGUACGUGAAAUUGUUGAAAGGGAAGCGUUUGAAGUCAGUCGUAUCUGGCGGGAUUCAGCCUGGCUUUUGCCGGGUGUACUUUCCGUCCGAUGGGUCAGCAUCAAUUUCGAUGGGGGGAAAAAGGCGUGGGGAAUGUGGCUGUCUUCGGGCAGUGUUAUAGCCCCGUGUUGUAUGCCUCUGUCGGGAUUGAGGAACGCAGCGCGCCUAUAGGCCAGGGGCUACCCGCCUC
RNAcentral lists this ribosomal RNA (1230 nucleotides) under uncultured Sebacina. RNAcentral describes it as "eukaryotic LSU rRNA". The stretch from base 604 to 1230 matches the Rfam family "Eukaryotic large subunit ribosomal RNA", at positions 1 to 609 of the family's 3401-position model. Lineage: Eukaryota; Fungi; Basidiomycota; Agaricomycetes; Sebacinales; Sebacinaceae. The record is from RNAcentral.